GGGGAUUUAGCUCAGUGGUAGAGCGCUUGCCUAGCAAGCUCAAGGCCCUGGGUUCAGACCCCAGCUCCG
RNAcentral lists this transfer RNA (69 nucleotides) under Rattus norvegicus (Norway rat). It matches the Rfam family "tRNA". From Rfam's summary of the family: Transfer RNA (tRNA) molecules are approximately 80 nucleotides in length. Their secondary structure includes four short double-helical elements and three loops (D, anti-codon, and T loops). Lineage: Eukaryota; Metazoa; Chordata; Mammalia; Rodentia; Muridae. The record is from Rfam by way of RNAcentral.